Acanthosepion pharaonis is the source of this 106-nucleotide non-coding RNA. Lineage: Eukaryota; Metazoa; Mollusca; Cephalopoda; Sepiida; Sepiidae. The record is from the annotation of a GenBank genome assembly.
UUACGGCCAUUGAAACACCGGUUCUCAUACAAUCACUGAAGUUAGGCAAUGUCAAGCCUGGUCAGUACCAAGAUGGGUAACCGCUUGGGAAUACCAGGUACUGUAA